CUCAGAUGAACGCUGCGGCAGGCCUAACACAUGCAAGUCGAGCGGAAACGAGUUAUCUGAACCUUCGGGGAACGAUAACGGCGUCGAGCGGCGGACGGGUGAGUAAUGCCUAGGAAAUUGCCCUGAUGUGGGGGAUAACCAUUGGAAACGAUGGCUAAUACCGCAUAAUGCCUACGGGCCAAAGAGGGGGACCUUCGGGCCUCUCGCGUCAGGAUAUGCCUAGGUGGGAUUAGCUAGUUGGUGAGGUAAUGGCUCACCAAGGCGACGAUCCCUAGCUGGUCUGAGAGGAUGAUCAGCCACACUGGAACUGAGACACGGUCCAGACUCCUACGGGAGGCAGCAGUGGGGAAUAUUGCACAAUGGGCGCAAGCCUGAUGCAGCCAUGCCGCGUGUGUGAAGAAGGCCUUCGGGUUGUAAAGCACUUUCAGUCGUGAGGAAGGUAGUGUAGUUAAUAGCUGCAUUAUUUGACGUUAGCGACAGAAGAAGCACCGGCUAACUCCGUGCCAGCAGCCGCGGUAAUACGGAGGGUGCGAGCGUUAAUCGGAUUACUGGGCGUAAAGCGCAUGCAGGUGGUUCGUUAAGUCAGAUGUGAAAGCCCGGGGCUCGCCUCGGAACUGCAUUUGAAACUGGCGGACUAGAGUACUGUAGAGGGGGGUAGAAUUUCAGGUGUAGCGGUGAAAUGCGUAGAGAUCUGAAGGAAUACCAGUGGCGAAGGCGGCCCCCUGGACAGAUACUGACACUCAGAUGCGAAAGCGUGGGGAGCAAACAGGAUUAGAUACCCUGGUAGUCCACGCCGUAAACGAUGUCUACUUGGAGGUUGUGGCCUUGAGCCGUGGCUUUCGGAGCUAACGCGUUAAGUAGACCGCCUGGGGAGUACGGUCGCAAGAUUAAAACUCAAAUGAAUUGACGGGGGCCCGCACAAGCGGUGGAGCAUGUGGUUUAAUUCGAUGCAACGCGAAGAACCUUACCUACUCUUGACAUCCAGAGACUCCAGCGGAGACGCAGGAGUGCCUUCGGGAGCUCUGAGACAGGUGCUGCAUGGCUGUCGUCAGCUCGUGUUGUGAAAUGUUGGGUUAAGUCCCGCAACGAGCGCAACCCUUAUCCUUGUUUGCCAGCGAGUAAUGUCGGGAACUCCAGGGAGACUGCCGGUGAUAAACCGGAGGAAGGUGGGGACGACGUCAGGUCAUCAUGGCCCUUACGAGUAGGGCUACACACGUGCUACAAUGGCGCAUACAGAGGGCAGCCAACUUGCGAAAGUGAGCGAAUCCCAAAAAGUGCGUCGUAUUCCGGAUUGGAGUCUGCAACUCGACUCCAUGAAGUCGGAAUCGCUAGUAAUCGUGGAUCAGAAUGCCACGGUGAAUACGUUCCC
This 1369-nucleotide ribosomal RNA is filed under the name Vibrio sp. 0208F2. RNAcentral describes it as "bacterial SSU rRNA". It matches the Rfam family "Bacterial small subunit ribosomal RNA", at positions 23 to 1375 of the family's 1533-position model. The record is from RNAcentral. Lineage: Bacteria; Pseudomonadati; Pseudomonadota; Gammaproteobacteria; Vibrionales; Vibrionaceae.